This 111-nucleotide ribosomal RNA is filed under the name Dentispicotermes sp. n. 2 SH-2021a. The record is from RNAcentral. Lineage: Eukaryota; Metazoa; Arthropoda; Insecta; Blattodea; Termitidae.
ACGGCCGUGCGAGGUUGCCUUCACCGGUUCUCGUUAGACCACUGUAGUUAAGCAACCUUGAGCGAGGUUAGUACUUGGAUGGGUGACCGCUUGGGAACAGUGCGUUGCUGU